Molecule: ribosomal RNA, 466 nt
Filed under: uncultured bacterium
Lineage: Bacteria
Description: partial 16S ribosomal RNA
Rfam family: Bacterial small subunit ribosomal RNA
Source: RNAcentral
GAUGAACGCUGGCGGCGUGCUUAACACAUGCAAGUCGAACGGAAAGGCCCAAGCUUGCUUGGGUACUCGAGUGGCGAACGGGUGAGUAACACGUGGGUGAUCUGCCCUGCACUUCGGGAUAAGCCUGGGAAACUGGGUCUAAUACCGGAUAGGACCACAUUUUGGAUGGUGUGGUGGAAAGUUUUUCGGUGUGGGAUGAGCUCGCGGCCUAUCAGCUUGUUGGUGGGGUAAUGGCCUACCAAGGCGUCGACGGGUAGCCGGCCUGAGAGGGUGUACGGCCACAGUGGGACUGAGAUACGGCCCAGACUCCGACGGGAGGCAGCAGUGGGGAAUAUUGCACAAUGGGCGCAAGCCUGAUGCAGCGACGCCGCGUGGGGGAUGACGGCCUUCGGGUUGUAAACUCCUUUCGCUAGGGACGAAGCGUUAUGUGACGGUACCUGGAGAAGAAGCACCGGCUAACUACGUG